CUGGGAUUUUUCAAAUGCCCACCAUGGCUGGUGAGAGGUAGUUUCAUCUGUGCAGCUCUCUGAGAGUCUUACCUGACCCAGUGCCAUUUUAUAUGGAAUUCUGGGACAGCUCUCUGCUCACUCUAAAGCCGCGUCAAUCUUCAGGUUUGGAAUUUCACAUCUGAUUGUACAACACUGUUACCUGCAGAGCACAGGCCUGAGCUUUUCAUUCCAGGUGUGCAGGCAACACUAUGGCAG
This 237-nucleotide long non-coding RNA is filed under the name Zonotrichia albicollis (white-throated sparrow). RNAcentral's name for it is "lncRNA (ENSZALG00000016753.1)". Lineage: Eukaryota; Metazoa; Chordata; Aves; Passeriformes; Passerellidae. The record is from RNAcentral.